This 353-nucleotide unclassified non-coding RNA is filed under the name Hevea brasiliensis (rubber tree). The record is from RNAcentral. Lineage: Eukaryota; Viridiplantae; Streptophyta; Magnoliopsida; Malpighiales; Euphorbiaceae.
GUAUUAAUCCCACCUCUAUAAGCAGACAUCAAUAUAAAAUUAUAGGCAGCAGAACCAAAUGGGUUGAAAGCUCGCUUAAUAACUCCAUUUUCCAGCGGCGGAGGAAGAGCGGUGGAGGCGUUAAUAGCUGAAAUUGAAACUGAAACAGAAUCGAAAGAUGGAACAGAAAUACAAGUAGUUGAAAAACGAAUAGGCAUGAAUUGAAGAAUUGUCAUAAGGGAAAACAGAAAAAGUAUAGCAGUAAGGAUAAAUUUGAGUUCAGCUGCACAAUUCCAUACAAUACCAACAAACAUUUUCCUCUCUUUCUCCUUGGUCAUCACAAAAUUGUACGAAAAGAAAUAACAGAAAAUGGC